This 326-nucleotide ribosomal RNA is filed under the name uncultured bacterium. Its description in RNAcentral is "bacterial SSU rRNA". It matches the Rfam family "Bacterial small subunit ribosomal RNA", at positions 27 to 334 of the family's 1533-position model. The record is from RNAcentral.
GGAGUGAACGCUGGCGGCCGUGCCUUAAGUACGAUGCAAGUCGAACGAACAUUAAGAGUGCUUGGCACGUUUUAAUAGGUUAGUGGCGAACGGGUGAGUAAUACAUAGGCAACUUGCCCCAAGGACUGGGAUAACACUUAGAAAUGAGUGCUAAUACCGGAUAGGUAAUACAAAGGCAUCUUAGUAUUAUUAAAGUUGGGUAUCCAACACCAUGGGAUGGGCUUAUGCUGUAUUAGCUAGUUGGUGAGGUAAAAGCCCACCAAGGCGAUGAUACAUAGCUGGUCUGAGAGGAUGAACAGCCACAUUGGGACUGAGACGCGGCCCAG